RNAcentral lists this long non-coding RNA (1564 nucleotides) under Olea europaea (common olive). RNAcentral describes it as "long non-coding RNA (OEUR_LNC012188)". Lineage: Eukaryota; Viridiplantae; Streptophyta; Magnoliopsida; Lamiales; Oleaceae. The record is from RNAcentral.
AAUUAGAAGAAGACAAAGUAAUCAAAACUCUAGAAAUGUCUUAAAUCAAUCAUUUUCUUCCAAAAAAGAUAAUCCCCUACAAAAGGGGAUCUGUAAAUUGGGAUCAAACCUUCAAAGAAGUCUUAACUGAAGGAAAAUGUCGUUAAGAAUAGCCUUUACUAGUGCUACUGAAUGAGGGUGAUCUUAAAUUUAGGCCUGACCCAUUUGAAAUAACAAUUACGUAUUUAAACUAUCAAUAAUAUAAAAGUAUGUCUAGCUAGUUAACAGAACUAGACAAUUCCCUGAGGAAAUCUUAGUUCAGACAGAAUAUUUAGAUAUCUUUCAUAAUGAUGAAAACAAGAAGAAAACUAGGUUUAACAAAGCCUUUAUUCAGAGGGUAAUCAAUCUCAAUGAAUGAGGACUAAAUCCUAAUGUCAAUUGAACAAUUGUUAGUAAAAUAACACAAGAGAAGAAAACUACAUUGGUGAGAAAAAGUAAUAAUCGGAGAAAUCCACUGAUAUCCUAGAAAGAAUUAAAGAAAAAAAUUCUAGAAGUUAUGACGCAAUUCUGUAAAGAAGAUGAAGGUGAAUCCAUGAAGCCAGAACAAAUUCCAUAAGCUCAGAAAAUGAAAGGUCUAAUAGGAAAAUGAUACUGAUGACGAGAACUAUACGACAUUAAGACACUGAGGACUUGUUGGGAAUGAUAAAGCUAUAUUCACGAGCCCAAGGAUCAAUUCAGCCCAAGAGGAAAGGAAAGAGAAUCAUUGUCAAGUGACAAACGACAAUUUUUAAGACUUUUUCCAUGAUUGAUGCACUCAUGGGAAGAGUGUAUGAUUGAUGCACCCAUGGGAAGAGUGUAUGUGAAACUAAAAGUUCCCAAGAGUGUAUAUGAAACUUCAAGUUCCCUAAGACUUGUGCUUCAGAAUCGUGAAAAACUUCGCGGAGUUAAAGUUUGCUAAGUUUUAUGUUGUAGUCACGUGAAAGACUCCCUAAAAGAUUCUUGAAGUUAGAAAUCAACUCAAAUUCAAGUCAGGAAUGCUCCUAGAGAAGAUGUGGCCAAUCUUAUGGGGAUUGGAAAAUCUCCGUAGUUUUUAUAUUUUUUACUUUGGAAAUUUCAGUUUUAUCCCUAGUUCUCUUGUACUUCCAAAAAUCUAUGCUGUAAUUACAAGUUCAAUCUUUUGUAAUAUAUACUUCAUUUUCGAAGAACUUGUACUUUCAAAAAUCUAUGCUGUAAUUACAAGUUAAAUCUUUUGUAAUAUAUACUUCAUUUUCGAAGAAUUUUUAGUGACAUCCCAUUGUAUUAUAUCCUUCAUUUUCGAAGAAUUUUGAGUGGCUUUCCUAGCACAAUCCUAGAUCCAUAGCUUUUUGUAGCAUAUCUUGCAUCAAAUAUGGAUCCUUGUAGCUUUUCAGAUCAGAUUUUUGCUUCAUUGUAGUAUGAAAUAAAUAUGUGUUCAUGUUUAUGCCCAUGUGAUGGUUUUUGUUUAAGUAAAACAAAGAUGGAACAUUGAGGACUCAAAUACCUUAUACCGAUCCAGCUACUUUUAAUGAGAAAACCAGCAUUUCAGUUUAUCAAAAUAUUAAUGAGA